Molecule: ribosomal RNA, 279 nt
Filed under: uncultured bacterium
Lineage: Bacteria
Description: partial 16S ribosomal RNA
Rfam family: Bacterial small subunit ribosomal RNA
Source: RNAcentral
UGCCAGCCGCCGCGGUAAUACGGAGGUUCCAAGCGUUGUUCGGAAUUACUGGGCGUAAAGGGAGCGCAGGCGGAUAGGUCAGUUCAAAGUGGAAUCCCAGGGCUCAACCCUGGAAGUGCUUUGGAUACUGCCUGUCUUGAGUUCGUGAGAGGAAAGUGGAAUUCAGGGUGUAGCGGUGAAAUGCUUAGAUAUCCUGAGGAACACCAGUGGCGAAAGCGACUUUCUGGCACGAAACUGACGCUGAGGCUCGAAAGCGUGGGUAGCGAACGGGAUUAGAUA